Molecule: ribosomal RNA, 404 nt
Filed under: Fusobacteriota bacterium
Lineage: Bacteria; Fusobacteriati; Fusobacteriota
Description: Fusobacteria bacterium partial 16S ribosomal RNA
Rfam family: Bacterial small subunit ribosomal RNA
Source: RNAcentral
UGGGGAAUAUUGCACAAUGGAGGGAACUCUGAUGCAGCGACGCCGCGUGAGUGAUGAAGGAAUUCGUUUCGUAAAACUCUGUUCUAUGGGAAGAAAAGGACUGUACCAUAGGAGAAAGCUCCGGCUAAAUACGUGCCAGCAGCCGCGGUAAUACGUAUGGAGCGAGCGUUGUCCGGAAUUAUUGGGCGUAAAGGGUGCGCAGGCGGCUUUACAAGUUGGAUGUGAAAUAUUGAGGCUCAACCACAAACGUGCAUCCAAAACUGCAAAGCUUGAGUUAAGGAGAGGUAAGUGGAAUUCCUGGUGUAGCGGUGGAAUGCGUAGAUAUCAGGAGGAAUACCGGUGGCGAAGGCGACUUACUGGACUUAAACUGACGCUCAGGCACGAAAGCGUGGGGAGCAAACAGG